ACGAACGCUUGCUGCAUGCUUUAUACAUGCAAGUCGAACGGAGGCCCUAGCUUGCUAGGUGUCCUUAGUGGCGCACGGGUGAGUAACACGUGGGAACAUACCUUAUAGUACGGAAUAACUGCGGGAAACUGUAGCUAAUACCGUAUACUCCAGUAAUGGGAAAGAUUUAUCGCUAUAAGAUUGGCCCGCGCAAGAUUAGCUUGUUGGUGAGGUAAAAGCUCACCAAGGCUUCGAUCUUUAGCUGGUUUGAGAGGACGAUCAGCCACACUGGGACUGAGACACGGCCCAGACUCCUACGGGAGGCAGCAGUAGGGAAUAUUGGACAAUGGGGGCAACCCUGAUCCAGCAAUGCAGCGUGAGUGACGAAGGCCUUAGGGUUGUAAAACUCUUUCAUCGGUGAGGAUAAUGACAGUAGCCGAAGAAGAAGGACCGGC
RNAcentral lists this ribosomal RNA (434 nucleotides) under uncultured Alphaproteobacteria bacterium. Its description in RNAcentral is "bacterial SSU rRNA". It matches the Rfam family "Bacterial small subunit ribosomal RNA", at positions 29 to 497 of the family's 1533-position model. The record is from RNAcentral. Lineage: Bacteria; Pseudomonadati; Pseudomonadota; Alphaproteobacteria.